Pygocentrus nattereri (red-bellied piranha) is the source of this 296-nucleotide long non-coding RNA. NCBI's taxonomy places the organism in Eukaryota, Metazoa, Chordata, Actinopteri, Characiformes, Serrasalmidae. The record is from Ensembl.
UUAUCACACAGUAUUUGCUACUCUUAUAAUAAUACAUUUGUUUGUGCACAUGCAGAUAUACCUAUAUCCAGACAGAGGACAUGUGUUUGGACUGUUCCUGAGGACACAGUGCCACCUUGUGUUGAGCUCCUCCAAAAAUCAAGCCUGGCAUUUCCCUGCUCUUGUAAGCACUUCACUGCCUGAUAGGAGUGAUGGAUGGAUAGUGAGUGCUUCACUCUUCACCCUCUUGACUCUCAUUACCAGCUGGUAAGUACGCACUUGUUAAACUAGCUGAUGGAGGUCGCUCACAACUAUAG